GGUAAGAUGGCCGAGCGGUUAAGGCGUGUGACUCAAGCUGCAAUGCAAAAGCUUCCCUUCUCAUGGGAGAAAUCCCGCCUGGGUUCAAGUCCCAGUCUUACCA
Non-coding RNA from Marasmius oreades (fairy-ring Marasmius), 103 nucleotides. The record is from the annotation of a RefSeq genome assembly. Lineage: Eukaryota; Fungi; Basidiomycota; Agaricomycetes; Agaricales; Marasmiaceae.